GAGACUUCGGUCAAAUCUUGUUUAAUCUUAGUGGCGGACGGGUGAGUAACGCGUGGGCAACCUGCCUCAUACUGGGGGAUAGCAGUUGGAAACGACUGAUAAUACCGCAUAAGCGCACGGUGUCGCAUGACACAGUGUGAAAAACUCCGGUGGUAUGAGAUGGGCCCGCGUCAGAUUAGCUAGUUGGUAAGGUAAUGGCUUACCAAGGCGACGAUCUGUAGCCGGACUGAGAGGUCGGACGGCCACAUUGGGACUGAGACACGGCCCAAACUCCUACGGGAGGCAGCAGUGGGGGAUAUUGCACAAUGGAGGAAACUCUGAUGCAGCGACGCCGCGUGAGUGAAGAAGUAUUUCGGUAUGUAAAGCUCUAUCAGCAGGGAAGAAAGGCCCGCAAGGGAGAUGACGGUACCUGACUAAGAAGCCCCGGCUAACUACGUGCCAGCAGCCGCGGUAAUACGUAGGGGGCAAGCGUUAUCCGGAUUUACUGGGUGUAAAGGGAGCGCAGACGGUUAUGCAAGUCUGAAGUGAAACCCCACGGCUCAACCGUGGGCUUGCUUUGGAAACUGUAUAACUAGAGUACUGGAGAGGUAAGCGGAAUUCCUAGUGUAGCGGUGAAAUGCGUAGAUAUUAGGAGGAACAUCGGUGGCGAA
This 650-nucleotide ribosomal RNA is filed under the name uncultured rumen bacterium. RNAcentral's name for it is "bacterial SSU rRNA". It matches the Rfam family "Bacterial small subunit ribosomal RNA", at positions 68 to 719 of the family's 1533-position model. The record is from RNAcentral.